UACACUUAACUUUGGUCUUAACUUGCUCUGGGUGCGCAUGUCGAGUAAUCCAUAAAGAACCCCCCUCACAGAUAGGACCAACAUUUUGAAAGAAUGCUAAUACCUGAUAUUUGAUUUUAAGUCAUCUUAGAAUUAUGAAAUCUAUUUGCACCGUGAGAGAGCUCUGCGUCCCCAUUAGUUAGUUGGAGAGGUAACAGCUCACCAAGGCGAUGAUGGGUAGCCGGCCUGAGAGGGUGAACGCCCACAAGGGGACUGAGACACGGCCCUUACUCUUACGGGAGGCAGCAGUGGGGAAUAUUGGACAAUGGACCGAGAGUCUGAUCCAGCAAUUCUGUGUGCACGAUGAAGUUUUUCGGAAUGUAAAGUGCUUUCAGUUGGGAAGAAAUAAAUGACGGUACCAACAGAAGAAGUGACGGCUAAAUACGUGCCAGCAGCCGCGGUAAUACGUAUGUCACGAGCGUUAUCCGGAUUUAUUGGGCGUAAAGCGCGUCUAGGUGGUUAUGUAAGUCUGAUGUGAAAAUGCAGGGCUCAACUCUGUAUUGCGUUGGAAACUGUAUAACUAGAGUACUGGAGAGGUAAGCGGAACUACAAGUGUAGAGGUGAAAUUCGUAGAUAUUUGUAGGAAUGCCGAUGGGGAAGCCAGCUUACUGGACAGAUACUGACGCUAAAGCGCGAAAGCGUGGGUAGCAAACAGG
RNAcentral lists this ribosomal RNA (695 nucleotides) under uncultured Fusobacterium sp. RNAcentral describes it as "bacterial SSU rRNA". It matches the Rfam family "Bacterial small subunit ribosomal RNA", at positions 62 to 776 of the family's 1533-position model. Lineage: Bacteria; Fusobacteriati; Fusobacteriota; Fusobacteriia; Fusobacteriales; Fusobacteriaceae. The record is from RNAcentral.